GUUACACUGCUGUUAUCAUGUCUUCAACCUGUUCAACGUUUAUGCUUUCUCUUAUGAUGUCUGAGUAGUGAAUAGGUUUCUGAGGAUGGGUUAGAGUAGUAUAGAAUUUUCAGUAUGCUAGGUGAUUGAGUAUUGAUUGAUAGAUCCCUUCUGGAUUAGUUGUUCUUAAUGCCUAUUGCUUUCUGAUCAACUGGAAUUUGAGCCCAGACAUUUCCGCGCCCAAAAGGUGUUCGAUGAAAUGUCUGAACCACUGAUUC
RNAcentral lists this small RNA (257 nucleotides) under Arabidopsis thaliana (thale cress). RNAcentral's name for it is "ATSL264520". The record is from RNAcentral. Lineage: Eukaryota; Viridiplantae; Streptophyta; Magnoliopsida; Brassicales; Brassicaceae.